Non-coding RNA from Hypoxylon sp. FL1857, 105 nucleotides. Lineage: Eukaryota; Fungi; Ascomycota; Sordariomycetes; Xylariales; Hypoxylaceae. The record is from the annotation of a GenBank genome assembly.
GGCCUUUUAGUGUAAUUGGUCAUCACAGCGGAUUCUGAUUAAAGGAUCUGUGAGAUUCCUGAUUCCAGCAUUCCGCUAAUCUGGGUUCGAUUCCCAGGGAGGCCU